This 109-nucleotide ribosomal RNA is filed under the name Eurypyga helias (sunbittern). The record is from RNAcentral. Lineage: Eukaryota; Metazoa; Chordata; Aves; Eurypygiformes; Eurypygidae.
GCCUACGGCCAGACCACCCUGAGAACGCCCCAUCUCGGAAGCUAAGCAAGGUCACGCCUGGUUAGUACUGGGAUGGGAGACUGCGUGGGAAUACCGGGUGCUGUAGGCU